This 96-nucleotide small nuclear RNA is filed under the name Pongo abelii (Sumatran orangutan). The record is from RNAcentral. Lineage: Eukaryota; Metazoa; Chordata; Mammalia; Primates; Hominidae.
GUGCUCGCUUCAGCAGCACAUAUACUAUGUGGAACAAUAUGGAGUUGAGCAUGGCACAAGGAUGACAUGCAAAUUCAUGAAACAGUUCUGAACUUU